Molecule: ribosomal RNA, 252 nt
Filed under: uncultured Bacteroidales bacterium
Lineage: Bacteria; Pseudomonadati; Bacteroidota; Bacteroidia; Bacteroidales
Description: partial 16S ribosomal RNA
Rfam family: Bacterial small subunit ribosomal RNA
Source: RNAcentral
UACGGAGGAUGCGAGCGUUAUCCGGAUUUAUUGGGUUUAAAGGGUGCGUAGGCGGAACAUUAAGUCAGCGGUAAAAUCGAGGGGCUCAACCCCUUUAAGCCGUUGAAACUGGUGAUCUUGAGUGGGCGAGAAGUAUGCGGAAUGCGUGGUGUAGCGGUGAAAUGCAUAGAUAUCACGCAGAACUCCGAUUGCGAAGGCAGCUUACUAAGCCAUAACUGACACUGAAGCACGAAAGCGUGGGGAUCAAACAGG